GCACCGGUCCUCGAACACUACGCCCGGCAGCUGACCUUUACCUGACCUCUGACCCUGUUCCGUGCCGCCGGGCGCUCCAAACCAGUUCUAGCCUCUACCCCGGGUCCUCAGCUGAGACCAUAGGUACUAUGCCGAGUGAGGGGCAGCUCGUGCUUGGCAAACGGGGCCGGCGCACAGUAGGCGAUCGGGCAUGUAGAUUGUAGAGUGCAUAGCCAAGCGAAACCCAUCGAUGUUCAUAACUUGCAUGCUUUCCAUGCUGGGACUCGUAUAUUUCAGACCAGCAGUCUCUAAUAUCUGUUGAACGAUUGCAGUAUUAUGGCGCAUCAUAAAAGUCACUCUGACCUUCUAAUCGUUUAUUUAUCCUUAUGUAUGACAGGUAUAGCAAGACAUAUCGAAUUUCUCAUCACGAACUACAAUUUGGCCUUAACUCGCGGCCCACACUGGGGUCUGCGUAUAACACGUCCUACGGGGGGAUUCAUAGCCCCCCCCCCCCCUCCUACCUCCGAAACUACUGUGCCGAUCGUCAAAAUUUAAACCGCGGCGUCUGAUAGCCCCGGAAACCUGUCGAGCGAAACCUAAUUUCAUUGACCUCGAAGUCACCGAUGACGUCACAGGUCAGGUCAAAGUAAAAAUUAUCAAUGUUUGGCUUGUUCACAAUUUGGGUUCUGGCCGCCGGCUUACAAGUCAGAACAAGCUCAUUUUUGGUUUACACACUCGUGAACAGAUAAUUUAGAUACUCUAAGGGUACCAAACUUGUACUUUGAUUUUCAGUUCAGGGUCAGGUCAUCACAGGUCACGGAAAGCUUAUAUCAUGCAUCGGUCACGUGACACAUGUUUUAUAAUCCGUUUAGGCCAUAAAUUUCGGAUUCGAUGUCGUUUAUGUCAUUCGAGGUCAUGUUGAGUUGAAUUUAGCUUAUAGCUCAGGCCGAAAUCGCGAAAUGCGUCGAAAUCGGAAUCGAAAUCGAAAUCGGCCGAACAUGACGUCACUCUGACGUCAAUUCCGGUCAACCUAUGGUAGCUACGAAGUUCAAAUUUUGACACAAGGUGUCAAGUUGAUGCAUCCAAAGGUACUGAAAGUUUGACGUCGAUACGUCAAGCGGUUUAGAAGUUAUUGCAGAAAAUUGGGAGGGGCUAUGAAUAGCCCCCCCCCCCCCAGUGGGGCGCGGGUUAAGCCGAUUUGAAAAUUUGACCUAAGGUCAAGGUGACCUGACCGGAAAAGGCCAUGUUCCAUACCAGCGAUCCGCAUCGUCGACCCGAAUACAUUCAAGUGGUUGCUUUGGCUCUAAGUGUCUACCAAAAGUUAUUGCCGAAAAACUGCUAUUUAGAUUUACAUUUCAUGACCUAAGACGACCUCGUGUCUAAGACAUGGGUACACCAUAUUUUAGCACUGUGCAGAUGUUUACUUACGACGUCGGCAAGAAUUUGUUUGGGACUUUGACACGCAUAUCCGUAAAAAUUUAGGCAUUGGAAUUCAAAAUUAUAUCCCGAAAGGUAAUUUCGGGGGCGAAGACGGUUAACCUAAAUCGUUUCAGUUAAUUGCGACUUUUAAAAAUAAAUCUCAGUCAGCCAAUCUUUUGAAAGCCGUGGCUGUGGCUGUGACGCCUGUCUCGGCUGGCGCUCGUUUCAGACUCGGACGACGUGGAGGCGAUUCUGGCCGAGUUUCGGGAGAACGGCCGCGACACCGAGUACCGUCCCGAGGCGGAGCUGUUGAGCGCGCGCCUCCUCACCCGGCCGCUGCUCGAGGCCAGGCGCAAGAGCAAGAAGAGUCUGCCCGACCUCUGCGUGUUCUGCAAGAACAACGGCGAGACGGCGCAGUUCUACUCCAACCACAUCCUCAAGGACCAGCGGGGCAUCGUGCGGUGUCCCGUGCUGCGCGCCUACACGUGCCCCACGUGCGGCGCGCGCGGCGACAACGCGCACACCAUCAAGUACUGCCCGCAGAGGCCCGUCUGCAAGCCGGUGCUGCCGCGCAUGAUCCGCAAGACGGUCCACUACUGACUGCCGACGCCGGCGCCCCGGGCGGUGUCGAGUGGAACUGGGUGUUCGCCUGUGCGAGCGACGCACCAUUACUGUUGUCACCGUGGGAUGUCUAUUGGGGCCGUAUCAUCGACGGAAUGAGAAGGGACAGUGAGCGAUAUCCACGUGUCUUUCCAUGUUUUAUGUUAAUUCUUAAAUAAUGUAAGAUAAAAAUACCAUAGCACCACGGGUGGUAAUGGUGCAUUUGUCUAACAUUGUUCAUGAAUUAAUCCGUCAAAGAUUACAUGUUUUAUGUUUAGUGCUUGUGUGUGCGUGUGAUAUCAUAUGUGAUGCACCAAGUGAGUGCGCGCGUCUUAAGAGGAUCGUUUUUGUUUUAUUGUAUGCAUUGGGAUGUCGUAUUGGGAAGGUAACCGUUUUACAGAAAUAUCUACAGCGGCCAAGUGCGAAUCAUACAUUGGCGACUUGUUUUGUUUUAUUGUCAUGCCUCAUAUUUAUAUGUGAUUCGCUCAUCUGUUAGCGGUACGAAAUUCGUCCAAUAAAUUAUUUUGAAAGAAA
This is a long non-coding RNA of Amphibalanus amphitrite, 2532 nucleotides long. RefSeq lists it as uncharacterized. Lineage: Eukaryota; Metazoa; Arthropoda; Thecostraca; Balanomorpha; Balanidae. The record is from RefSeq and is a predicted model, not a curated record. The transcript has 2 exons.